AACAAGAUGAGGGGGAGCUCGAAUGGGAGAGAGAGAGAGAGAGAGAGAGAGAGAGAGAGAGAGAGAGAGAGAGAGAGAGAUGAGAGCUUUUUUGAGUUUUGGGGAGAGAGAGAUUGAAAGGGUUUAGUUUAAAGCUUUGAGAGUUUAUAUAUGGGAUGGUACCAAAAACGUAUAUGAUGAAAUUGAGGAGUUGUUUAGAGAGAGAGAGAGAGAGAGAGAGAGAGAGAGAGAGAGGCUUUUGGACAGAGUGGUCUUCAAACAAGCAAAAUGAGCUUGAGAAACUGCUUUAGCAAGAAAAAAAAUGAUGGGAUUUUGUGGUAGGUCAUGGGGGAAUGGGUUAGAGAAGAAGGUCAUGGGGGAAUGGGUUGGAGAAGAAGACCGCAAGGAGAGGGGGGGAGGGUCCAUAGGAUUUUGUUUUUUGUUUUUUGUUUUUUUAUCUUUAAUUUUUUCAAUUUUUUUUUAAUGAUUUGACAGAUUAUUGGAUGACAUGUUAUUGAUUUAGACGGCAGGGGGGGAAUUGAGAAUAAAAUUUAGUUCGAGUCCUUAAUUUUGUAAAAAAAAAAAAAGGUCAGGGGGUAAAUUGAUAAUUAGGUACAAGUUCAAAGGGCAUUUCGGCAGUUAACCCUAUUUUAUUUCAUAUGUAUUGUUUAAGGAUUGUAACUUGUAGUUUUUAAGGGUAUGUUCCUAGGGGGACGGGGGACGGGCAGGAGGGGAGGAGGGGGGUGCAGGAACAGACCCACAAUGAGGUUAAUGGGGUCAAACGACCCUAUAGACUCCAUGGAAAUAAGCUUGAAGGUCCUCUUGAGUUGACUGUGAGACCCCCAUGAAAUACCCUACACCUGUUUGAUAUUUGGCCUGAAGAAAGGGUUGCUGCGCGAGGAAGAAGAAGAAGAGCAGUGCGCAUCUUUUUUUUUUUUAAAACACGUUGGCCAAAACAUCGUCGUUUUGGCCCAGCGCUUACUUUUAUAAUAAAAAACAUGCUUGCCAAACGGCAUCGUUUUGGCCCAGCACUUCAUUUUCUUUUCAAAGACCUGGACCAAAACGACGUCAUUUUGGCCCAGCGAAUUUGUUUUUAAAAGACCUACCCAAAACAACGUAGUUUUGGUCCAUAUCUUUUUAUAAAAAUAAAAAAAAAUAAAAAAAGUUUCCAAAACUCCUCCACCCGAUCCCAACCUCUCCAAAACCCUCAUUCUUUUCUCCUCAACCUUAAAUCCCCAAUCUCCACCUCCCUAAACCUUUAAACCCCCUCCACCCCAAACCUUUAACCCCCCCAUCUCCUCCAUUGCCGCCGUUGCCAGCAGUGUCAUCGCGCCAAAAAAAAAAAUUGAACUUUUACACUACGACCCUAUAAGGUAAGAUUUCUGGGUUCGUCACUGGGGGGUUGGCACUCUAUUGGAGGCCAGGUUUCUUCUCCCAGGUUCAGUUGAGAGGGUAGGCUACGUAGUAGUUGACAACCAAAACGCCAAUUGGUGUAGAGGUACUUGCCUAAUCCUCUAGGACUUACCCGAUUUUUGUUCUUGUUUCACUCCUCAUCAUUAAUAAACAAUUAUCACCUUUGUGUCAAUAUAUAUAUAUAUAUAUAUAUACAUACAUAUAGAAAGCUUCAGUUAAAGGAUCU
This 1618-nucleotide long non-coding RNA is filed under the name Prunus persica (peach). RNAcentral describes it as "long non-coding RNA (PPER_LNC000949)". Lineage: Eukaryota; Viridiplantae; Streptophyta; Magnoliopsida; Rosales; Rosaceae. The record is from RNAcentral.